RNAcentral lists this transfer RNA (72 nucleotides) under Sphaerodactylus townsendi. RNAcentral's name for it is "tRNA-Ala". It matches the Rfam family "tRNA". Rfam says of the family: Transfer RNA (tRNA) molecules are approximately 80 nucleotides in length. Their secondary structure includes four short double-helical elements and three loops (D, anti-codon, and T loops). Further hydrogen bonds mediate the characteristic L-shaped molecular structure. tRNAs have two regions of fundamental functional importance: the anti-codon, which is responsible for specific mRNA codon recognition, and the 3' end, to which the tRNAs corresponding amino acid is attached (by aminoacyl-tRNA synthetases). tRNAs cope with the degeneracy of the genetic code in two manners: having more than one tRNA (with a specific anti-codon) for a particular amino acid; and 'wobble' base-pairing, i.e. permitting non-standard base-pairing at the 3rd anti-codon position. Lineage: Eukaryota; Metazoa; Chordata; Lepidosauria; Squamata; Sphaerodactylidae. The record is from RNAcentral.
GGGACCCUGGCUGAGCGGUAGAGCAUCUGCUUGGCAUGCAGAAGGUCGCAGGUUCAAUCCCUGCCAUUUCCU